RNAcentral lists this ribosomal RNA (606 nucleotides) under uncultured archaeon. RNAcentral's name for it is "bacterial SSU rRNA". It matches the Rfam family "Archaeal small subunit ribosomal RNA", at positions 315 to 921 of the family's 1478-position model. The record is from RNAcentral.
UCCAGGCCCUACGGGGUGCAGCAGGCGCGAAACCUCCGCAAUGUGAGAAAUCGCGACGGGGGGAUCCCAAGUGCCAUUCUUAACGGGAUGGCUUUUCAUUAGUGUAAAGAGCUUUUGGAAUAAGAGCUGGGCAAGACCGGUGCCAGCCGCCGCGGUAACACCGGCAGCUCUAGUGGUAGCAGUUUUUAUUGGGCCUAAAGCGUCCGUAGCCGGUUUAAUAAGUCUCUGGUGAAAUCCUGCAGCUUAACUGUGGGAAUUGCUGGAGAUACUAUUAGACUUGAGAUCGGGAGAGGUUAGAGGUACUCCCAGGGUAGAGGUGAAAUUCUGUAAUCCUGGGAGGACCGCCUGUUGCGAAGGCGUCUGACUGGAACGAUUCUGACGGUGAGGGACGAAAGCUAGGGGCGCGAACCGGAUUAGAUACCCGGGUAGUCCUAGCUGUAAACGAUGCGGACUUGGUGUUGGGGUGGCUUUGAGCUGUCCCAGUGCCGAAGGGAAGCUGUUAAGUCCGCCGCCUGGGAAGUACGGUCGCAAGGCUGAAACUUAAAGGAAUUGGCGGGGGAGCACCACAACGCGUGGAGCCUGCGGUUUAAUUGGAGUCAACGCCGG